This 468-nucleotide ribosomal RNA is filed under the name uncultured bacterium. RNAcentral's name for it is "partial 16S ribosomal RNA". It matches the Rfam family "Bacterial small subunit ribosomal RNA", at positions 28 to 507 of the family's 1533-position model. The record is from RNAcentral.
GACGAACGCUGGCGGCGUGCUUAACACAUGCAAGUCGAACGGAAAGGCCCUGCUUUUGUGGGGUGCUCGAGUGGCGAACGGGUGAGUAACACGUGACUAACCUGCCCUUGACUUUGGGAUAACUUCAGGAAACUGGGGCUAAUACCGGAUAGGAGCUCCUGCUGCAUGGUGGGGGUUGGAAAGUUUCGGCGGUUGGGGAUGGACUCGCGGCUUAUCAGCUUGUUGGUGGGGUAGUGGCUUACCAAGGCUUUGACGGGUAGCCGGCCUGAGAGGGUGACCGGCCACAUUGGGACUGAGAUACGGCCCAGACUCCUACGGGAGGCAGCGGUGGGAAAUAUUGCACAAUGGGCGGAAGCCUGAUGCAGCAACGCCGCGUGCGGGAUGACGGCCUUCGGGUUGUAAACCGCUUUCGCCUGUGACGAAGCGUGAGUGACGGUAAUGGGUAAAGAAGCACCGGCUAACUACGUG